GCCCUGGUGGCGCAGCAGUUGAGCACUUGGCUGCUAACCAAAAGGUUGGUGGUUUGAACUCACCCAGUGGCU
Molecule: transfer RNA, 72 nt
Filed under: Loxodonta africana (African savanna elephant)
Lineage: Eukaryota; Metazoa; Chordata; Mammalia; Proboscidea; Elephantidae
Rfam family: tRNA
About the family: Transfer RNA (tRNA) molecules are approximately 80 nucleotides in length. Their secondary structure includes four short double-helical elements and three loops (D, anti-codon, and T loops).
Source: Rfam by way of RNAcentral